Cricetulus griseus (Chinese hamster) is the source of this 1788-nucleotide non-coding RNA. Lineage: Eukaryota; Metazoa; Chordata; Mammalia; Rodentia; Cricetidae. The record is from RefSeq and is a predicted model, not a curated record.
CUGCCACACAGAUCCCCUCUGGCUUCUACAAUCCUUCUUCCCCCCUCUUCCACAAGGUUCUCUGUAUCUGCUCCUAUCAGUUGCUGGAUGAAGCCUCUCCAAUGACGUUUCUGCUAGGCUCUGGUCUAUGAGUAGGCACCAUAUUUUAUUGAAUGACUGAAAUACUACACAAAGUGUUGAGUGACACUUUCUGAAUGUUAUUUCAUUCAAGAGGUGCAAUGACAUCUGUAGGCUGUGUCUAAUUACCCCCAUUCUGUAAAUUAGGAAAAUGCAGUCAAUGAUCUUGGAGUUAGGAUUUAAAUGUAGUUUCUGAAUUUAGCUCUCUGUCAGAUGAUGUGUUAAAUGGCAGAAAUGUACUAUAAAUAGAUACACUGGUGUAGAAAUCCUUGGGAAGGCAACUGAAAUGAGACCUGCAGUGGCAGAGCCACCGUUUCCAGUGACUUGAAGCUAAAUUUCUACUCACUUUGGGGUGUGACUCUGCUCUACUGACUGACCAUGGCUUUGUAUUGUGUCUUCCUACGUUGGCCUUGGAGAUGAACAAUAGAUAACUCUAUGAUGGAGUGAGGAAGGAGGGAAAGAACUGAUUGAAUAAUACCAAGACAUCACUAGAAUGUAAUGAAGCAGAGUACAGUUUCUUUACUCAUGUUUUUCCUUCUUUCAUAGGCAAUGUCAUUUAGCAGGGACAUGUGAUAGGGUGCUCCAGGCGAUGAAUGCUUACAUAUAGGUAAAGUUCUUCUUUUUAGGCAGAACAAGACACUGGCUGAUGGAAUGGUGCAACUGCGAUUCAGGGUGGGUUUUCUUACCUCAAUUAACUUAAACUACGUAAUCCCCUAGAGACAUAACCAGAAGCUAACCUAACAUAACCAGAGGUUAAGCUAGAAAACCCACCAUAGGCGUGCUCAGAGUCUUUUCUUCUAGGCAAUUCUAGAGUCUGUCAUAUUAACAAAUCCAUUUAAAUCAUCACUGCUGCAUGUCACCAUACCCGGCUCAACCUGGUUUUUAUGACAGAUACACUUUUUAUAGCUCUCAUCAUUCGUAUUUUUACUUAAUCUUUAGACUUGCAAACAGUAUUUUUUUAAUCCUCUUCUUUGCUCUCCCCCAACUGCUCUCAGAUCCUCCUCUACCUCCUCGAUCAUUCAAUAUCAUAUUCCUUCUCUCAGAAUAAUGGAAUCUGAUUUGUUCUGGCCAACUACUCCGUGUGGAGCUUGCUCUGGAGUGUGGUUGAAAUACUUGUAAAUGCCACUGAAGAAAAUUGGUGUUUCCUCUCCCUGCUGGUUCCAGGACGAUAGAAUUAGAUCAAGUUGAGAAAGAGAACUUCUGCAUUUUCCAGACACAACAGGGCAGAUGCACAAAUGAAUUCAGAGACUAUAAAGCAGGCACACGGCUUGCACAAGCACAAGGCAGACAAAAUCCAGCAUGGAGAAUGCAAGGGGAUGGCCACGCUCAGCUGUUUCAAACUGCAGUCCCUGGGAACGGAACUCAAGUAUUCAUGUUUCAAGCCAAGCACUUUAUUGAUUAAUUCACCUCCCCAGCCAUUUUCAAUCUUAUCCCCAUUGUGAGAACAAGACUCCAUGAAGCCACGAUUGGCGAAUCACAUCAGGAUAUGAGGAUGUCAGUUUGUCCACCCGAGUCAGUCCGUUAUUUUAUCCAUGUGCUUAUCACUCACAGAGAGCUGACAGUCAGAAUGUCUCUGUCUCUCUAUGACUACCAUGGCUCCAAGCAAGAACGGGAAUCAAGUGUGUCUUCUUUAGAUACUCACUCUUCAUAAACAUGAGGUCAAACACUGCA